CUCCUCCCCGCCGCCCCGCCGCGGGCUCCCGGGCCCCGCGGGGGCCGAUCCCCCCCGGCCUGCAGCCCAGCCUGCGGGGGGCGCAGCGCCUAGUCCCGCCCGCGUCGCCCGCCAGCCCCGGGACAGCCCGCCUGGCGCGCGGGGCUCUGCGCGCUGCGACCCUCCCCGGCAGUCCCGCCCGCCUCUCCUCGCCCUCUCUCUGCCUGGCCUCCAACUUUGCCUCUCGCUAUCCUCUCCGCCGGCGCCCCCUUUCCCGGCGGUCCCCGGGAUGGUCCCCGGCACCCCGAGGACGCCGAGGUUACGGGAAGUUCGGGGACUGGCGGGAGAAGGGGUUUGGGGGUGGUCCGCGGCGAGGGGCGCGGGGUGCAUCUUCUCUUCCUUUUAUGGGCUGCCACACUUGUGUAUCCCUUCUUCCUUGAAUUUAACCAGGAGUGAGCAGUGGACAGCUUCUUCCCUAUGAGAAGGAGGUGAAGCAGGACCUGAAAUCCCGUGCUCAGCUCCCACAUGCCCCGUGUCCAGGACAAGUCCUUUGCUGAAUCAGCGGCAGACACCACCCGGAGCCCUGCGGGAGCCUUUCCCUGUUCUUCCAGCAUGGAUCUGAAACUCCCUUCCCACUUUCUGCAGCCUCCCAGAGAUAGUUCAGGCUCCAGCCUCAUGUGAUAGCAUGAAGAGAAACUGGUUCCAACAGCUGUGUGCUCUGCUGCCCUCAUCCCAAACAACAGUUUAAAUGCACAAUUACGCUUUUCUCUAAGGCCCAAAAUAGGAUAGGAAAGAUCGUUUUGCUAUCCCUGAAUGCCUGUCACCCUUGUUUCGUAAGGUAAGAUUGGGAAGGGCUUGGCCAUUGCCCUUGCAGCUGAGAAACCAACUUUAGGAAUAAAGACACUCUCUCCAUGUCUGACAAAUGUCUGCCCAUCUGCUGGCAGGUCAGUCUCUCUCUCUGAGAUAUAGAUUAUAUAUGUAUACAUAUAUAUGUGUGUGUGUAUAUAUAAUACACAUAUAUACAUAUAUACACACACAUUCACAUAUAUAAUAUAUAUGUGUGUAUAUACUAUACACAUAUAUAAUCUAUAUAGAGAGAUAUAUAGGUUAUAUAUAUGUACACGUGUGUAUGCAUAUUAUUAUACAGACAUAUACAUACACACAUAUAUAUACACACAGACAUAUAUAUACACGCACACACAUAUAUAAUCUAAUUAUGGAGCUGCCCUUACAGCUCACGCAUGUCAUGCGCACACACGCAGGCACAGUCAUUAGCUUUCAGAGCUGACACAUCAGGAGGCUGCAUCCCCCGCCUCCUCAUGGCUGAACGAUGUCUGCUCCUGGGUGACGCGUCCACUAGGCUGCCUCCUACUCAGGUUCCCCCUCCCCAGCCCCUUGUCUCGGAGCAGUCUUACUCUUAUUUUGUUUGUGGUACUUUUUCUGCCCGUCGAUGAUCUUACUCAUCUGCUUAUGUAUUUAUUUUCUGUUCCUCCUCCAGCAGGAAGUCAGUCCCAGAAUAGUUGUUCUGCUCCCUCCCUUCUAAUAAGUGCUGCGCUGAGUGUGCUUGCUUUGCCAGAUGGUUAAAACAGAGCAGGGGAUAGAAGGACAGAUGUCUUCACCCUCAUGGAGUUCACCUUCCAGUAGGAGGAGGCGAUAGGCCGGGGUCUGCACAUGUGCGUGCUACAGCCUGUUCCACGGUGCGUGGCGUGCGGGGCAGUAGAGACAGGAUUUCACCAUGUUGGCUAGGAUGGUCUCGAUCUCCUGACCUUGUGAUCCGCCCCUCCCUCAGCCUCCCAAAGUGCUGGGAUUACAGGCGUGAGCCACUGCACCCUGCCAGAAAACUCAUUCUUCUACUCCAUCCUACAGUUUUCCCUAAGAGAGAAACAAUAAAACGCCACCACGACCAAUGGCAAAAAGCUGGCACCCACUCCACGACUUUUCAUAUCUACACGUUUGUACAGCUUUAUUUUUAAGCAUUCUGAAAUUCUAUGCAGGAGAGACCCCAGCUAGGUUUAGGGAGUCCUAGGGUUUGUGGAGUAAAUGAAGUUUCUCCCUAGAAUUAGGGAGGGUAGAGACAGGCAGAGAACUGACAAUCCUAACAGCUGCUGUCCUCAGAGCCACUGUUUCUGAGAGCUGCUCGCUGAGUGCUUCUAGCGAGUUAAAUGGUGUUCGCCCAAAAGACCUGUUCACGUCCUGAUCCUGGGAACCUGUGGCUGUGAUCUUAUUUGGAAAAAGCUCUACAUUACGUCUUUGCAGAAGUAAUCAUGUUAAGGAUCUUGAGAGGACGUGACCCUGAAUUAUCCGGCUGUGCUUGACAUCCAAUGACUGGUGAUGUUGUAAGAGAAAGACGGAGGGAGAUGUAAGAUAUGAGAGAAGGCCACGCCGAGACUGGAGUGAUGUGGCCGUGAGCCGAGGAAUGCCUGGAGCCACCAGAAGCUGGCAAAGGCAGAAGGAGCCUCCUCUGGACCCUGUGGUGGGUACGCAGCCUGGCAGAUAUAUUCAUUUUGGACUUCUGGCCUCCAGGGCUGUGAGAGAAUACAUUUCUGCAGUUUUAAGCCACGCAAUCUGUGUCCCUGGGAAGCCCAAAUAGGGCGAGACCUUUUGCCAAGUGGUCUCCAAGUGUCACGUCAUCGAAUCCUUCUCCCGGGCUUGUGCCAUAGUCUUUCCACUUUAGAGAGGAGGAAACGGAGGCUCUGGGGCACAAAGCCAGUCAGUGGCGGGGCCUGACUUUCAACCCAGCCUGCAUGGGGUCAGAGAACCCACUUUCCCCGUGGGGCCUGCGGCCUAUGCUAAGGAUGCUUGUUCAUCUCUCCUGGGCCCGGGAGUGGUUCUUCUGGCCUAGAAGGCAAGAGAAGCCAGUCUUUCGGUUUCAAGGUUUCCCAUUAGUGGAGUCAAGCAAAAAUGGUGUGUUGCGCUUCUUCCUGAGCUCAGCCUGGGAGCACGGCCUUAACAUGCUCAGUGGAUCCCAAGACGGCAGCAUGGCGGUGCCAGCCUGGCAGCCUUAGCUCCUUGCAGCUGUGCUUGUGAAGGGAGCAGUGAGUGGCUUCCCUCUGUGACCACCUUGGGUCCUAAGUUUCACUGGGGCUGGGAUCCAUGCGUCUUGCAAUUGGCUAGGAAUUUCCCGGGCUUUCCCUCCCUUCCCUGUUCAGGGCACUGGGUGUGAGGCAUUGCAUCCGUUCUUCUGCUCACCUGCUUCCCCCUAAGAGUGUGAGCUGUAUAAAGGCAGGAACCAAACAGGAGCCUCCACGUGUUCCCAGUUCAAGGGCAGUGUCCCUUGUGUGUUUCUUCAAUAAUUCAGUGGAUGACUUAUUCUGCACGGACACUGCACACACUCGGCCCUGCCGUCUCCGGAGCUGGGAGGUGUGGAGCUGGCUCCUGACCUAUUUACACACUGAGGAGGGAUGUGGAAAACAGGAGGAGUCCCAGGGCUCCAAUGCAAAGAGGAGCCUCUUCAUUCCCUCUGCCGUGGCCGUGCAAGGGACAGCGCCUUGUGGGAUUGUGUCCUCCACCCAAUUAUCCUUAGCAUUAGUUUGCUAAGGAUAAUGGCCUCCAGCUCCACCCAUGUCCCUGCAAAGGACAUGAUCUCAUUCCUUUCUGUGUCUGCAUAGUAUUCCAUGGUGUAUAUGUACCGCGUUUUCUUUAUCGAGUCUAUCAUUGAUGGGCGCUUCAGUUGAUUCCAUGUCUUUGCUACUGUGACUCGUGCUGCAAUGAGCAUUCGCGUGCAUGCCUUUAUGGUGGAAUUAUUUCUAUUCCUUUGGGUGCAUACCCAGUCAUGGGAUUGCUGGGUCAAAUGGCAUUUCUGCCUCUAGGUCUUUAAGGAAUUGCCACGCUGUCUUCCACAAUGCAAGCAAGACGUUAUUGAAAGUGUAAAGGGGGCUGCUAAUUACGCUGGGGCAGGCGGGGCAAACCAGGACCCUGCCAGGCGAGUCUAGGCCAUGGCCCCACACCAGAAGAUGAGGGCUGGAGACUCCUGGAGAGGAAUCUGAGUGGCGAGACCACCUGCAUUCAUUAUGUGUCAACUCUGCCAGGUGACAGUCCCCAGUGAGCCCAUCAAACAUGAACCUAGGUGCUGUUGGGAAGGUCUUUGGAUGCCAUUAACAUCUACAAUCAGUUGGUUUUCAGUAGAGGAGAUUAUCCUCAAGAAUGUGGGCGGGCCUCAUCCAGUGAGCUGAAAGGCCUUGAGAGCAGAACUAGGAUUUUGGAGGAGGAUGAAGUGUUGCCUCCGGACCGCAGCGUCACCUCUUGCCUGGGAAUUUCCAGCUUCCUUUUCAGACUUCGGACUUGCCUCCAAGCUCCCUGAAUCUUUUCAUAUAUUUAUGUCCUAUUGCAGAUUGUGUUUCUCUGGCUGGACUGUAACUGAUGAGGAGGACUGAAAUUCCAGGCUUGGUUGUAUAGCAUAUAAGUGAGGUCAUUUGGGUCUGGGGAGCUGGGGGGGGGGUCCUUCAGCUGCAUGAGUGUGACCUGCACCAAGGUGCCUGGCUACCUGGGGCGAGGGGGCUGCCAUCUAGCCCACACCCCACUCCUAGGCCGUGCACCCUGGCAUGGGUCUAUGUCUGGCUCAAGGAAGGGUUCCCUCCUCCCUCCAAUGUGCACAGAGACCUUGAGAUCCCAUCCACCUAACCCUGUGCCCUCAGAAGCCUCCUCUGAGAGGGGGCACCUUUUCCUAAUUCUCACAAAGGCUAGUGGCUACCUUGUAGAUAGCCUUGGAUGUGUUAGGACACUUUUCUGAACAUCAGUUCCUUAUCUGUAAGAUGGGAGUUGUGUCCUCAAUGGGUAAUUAGAGAUUAUUCAUGGGAAAUCCUAUCACGGUAUCUACCACGGGGAGACUCACAAGUGCUGAUCUUUGCUGGUGUUGCUGCAUUUGUUAUUGAAUGCAUUCGUUAGGAGUCUUGUUAGUAAGUGACAAAAAUCCAACUCAAAUUGGCUUACACUAAACAAGUUUCCUGCAUCUGGGAGUAUAAAGGGUGACGCUUUGGCAGAGGCUGGCUCUGGAAAACGAGGACGCACAUUUGUGCCCCCACUUUCCUCUGUGCGGCGUCCUUCUCUUCAAGGCUUCCCCCAGUUUGGCAAACACGGCCCCAGCAAUGUCAAGCUGAGAGCACCUUUUAAGAAAGACCCUUCCUUCCAUGUGUUUUGGCAAAAGUCCCAUGAAGCAGUAUGAGUGGCCCGGUUUGGGUCAUGGGCUCACCCCUAAACCAGCCGCUCUGGAUGGAUUAGUUCCAAUUGGACAGGCCAUGGUCUUGGACUCUUUGGGUGAGUGUGGGAGGGUGUGGGAGGGAAGAUUCAUUGAACCUCAUCUCUACUACAUGGUACAGCUCCCUGGAAGAAAGAGGGGCUCCAUUACCAGAAGGAAACAAGGAAUUUUAUGGGGAACCACAUUAUCACUACCACAAUCUACCAUGCUAUACAUAAGAAAUGCACCUUGGUCUUAAUGCACGGUCUUGAGGGGGUGCAAGCUGAAUCCAAUUCCCAGCGUCUGGGUCAGUGUCCCUCAUGGGGGAGCUGCCUCACUUAAGAUUCCUUUGGAUAGGUAAGGUAGAACACCAAGCUGCGCGGGAUUAUGAAAAGAAAGGGAGAAAUUCACUGGCUCGCAGAAUUGAAAAGCUGAGAUCCAGCUGUACUUUUAAGCCUGAGCCAUUCUCCAGCUCCUGGCCCUGCCUCUCGCUGUCUUGGCUUCACCCUUCACAGACUGCCCUGCAAGGACCGAGGUGGAGUCUCAUUGGACUGGCUCAGGUCGUGUGCCUAGUUCUGAACCAUCCACUGUUUCCAGAGGGAUGGGGUAUCCUGAUUAGCCAGGAAGAAGUCAGACGUCUCUGAGCUAACUUUACUGAGAAUUGGGUAGAGGAGGUCCCCCAAAAGUAAAGUUGGGCACUGCAGUUCAGGAGAAGGGUGAUCACUGGUUGCUAAGCAACCAUAAAGUAGCCAGCAUCUCCUGUGGGUUGGGGUUUGCGCCUGUGAAUGGACAAGUGGCACUCGGAAAUUAAAUGCAGUGCAUCCAGUGCUCAAGCUCCUGGGCUUCGUCUGCUCCACACUUUUUCCUCUGCCCUUUGGGCUAAAGCCGUUGGGUUUGGGACAAGAGAAGGGGAGAGCUGGUACCUCUUCCCUUUUUUGCCCAGGAAAGUUGUUUCUCCAUCAUUUCAUGGCUCAAAGUCAUUAAAUCUGAGUAAUUCUUACAAACCAGAUCCAGGAAGAAUCUAGGAGUGGGCUCUCUGUAGAUUAGAAUGCUUCAGGCUGCAGGUAACAGAAGACUUGACUGGAAAUGCCUUCAACAGAGAAGGGAUGUAUCAUUUUCUAGAAGGAGAAAUUCUGCAGCUGGGACGGUUCCAGGGUUGGUUUCUUUGGAAACUCAGAACUUCAUCGAGGCUCUGGAUUCAUUUCUUCUUUCUGCUGUGCCAUUUCCAGCCUGUUGACUUGGCCUGGGCCAGCUGUCCUCUCACGCUCAUGAUUGCUGCCUCUGCUCCUGCCAUCACAUACACAAGCAGUGCCUGUUCAGUGGAACAAAAGGAAAUCAAAAAGAGGAAUCACAUUGUCCUGUGUCUCUACAAUGUUUUUUUUUUUUUAAAUCAUGAAAACCGUUCCCAGAAACCCCACAACAGACUUUCUGUUUCAUCUCAUUGGCCAGAACAGUAUCACAGGAGACUACUGGGAUUGGCAUAGACUAGCUAGGAUGCACCCUUAGAGCCCGUGGAGGACGGCAGACAUCUGAGCAGAGCUGGGCCUCAGCGGGCAGGGGAUGACAGGGACUGGCAGGCAUCCUUUUGGUCACUCAGAGGACUUCCUUCAAUCCACCCAGGGCUGGUUGGCAUCAUAAACUCAGGAUGGCAGCACUUGGAUGGCUGUGGUUGCUUUGUCUCCAGUGAGUGCCCCAGGAAACCAUCUCUUCUGGUCGCCACACGGCUAUUUGGUGAGCUGCUUGCUGGGGUGAGCUGCUGCUGAAUGGGUGUGGUUGAAACUGGAAGGGUGAGGUCCCAAAGCCACUGUCUGCCCCUGGGUGACUGCAACAGGUAGCCCCCCCACCAACUUCCAGGCAAAUCCGUGGGAAAUGGAACAAGGUAUCAAGGGGAACAGGGGAGUCAGGCCACCAGGGCCCCACUGAGGAAGGCACCUGUUGCACCAUAUUUUGACGUCUUGAAUGUGUAUCCACUGGCCCAGGGAGUGGCUUAAUUACCAGUGUAAUAGCAGGUCCACUUACAGCUUCAGGUUUCGUAGAGGAAAAAGCAUCAUUGCAAAAUGCUUUUGAUGUGGUUAAGCGGUGAGGCCACAGUGAAUUUUAAGUGCUUGGUAAAGCGCAUGGAAAAAGAAAAGCACAAGUCAUACUUGGUAAAGGACAUUUCCCUUCCUAGAUGCCAGGUGUGAAAGGAUGCCAGGAAUAUUCUCUGCUCUUUCCUCCUGCUUCCUGAAGGACUGAGUCCACACUAACUAUUAUCAAACAAACAAACUUCCAGGGGAAAAGACUGCAGAACCUAUACAUUCUUUAUAAUUGGAAUCACAGCUAUACAUUCUUUAUAAUCAGAAUAACAGCUCUACAUUCUUUAUCAUCGCAGCUAUACGUUCUUUAUAAUCAGAAAGUGCUUUCUGGCCAGGCACGGUGGCUCAUGCCUGUAAUCCCAGAACUUUGGGAGGCCAAGCCAGGUGGAUCACCAGAGUUUAGGAGUUCGAGACCCUCUGGCCAACAUGGCAAAACCCCGUCUCUACUAAAAAUACAAAAAAAAAAAAAAAAAGCCCAGUGUGGUAGCAGGCGCCGGUAAUCCCAGCUACUCAGGAGGCUGAGGCAGGAGAAUCGCUUGAACUCAGGAGGCGGAGGUUGCCGUGAGCCAAGAUCACAUCACUGCAUUCUAACCUGGGCAACAACAGUGAGACUCCAUCUCAAAAAAAGAGAAAAGUGCUUUCUGCUGUCUUACUGAGGUCCCUGCUGCUCUGCUAACUCCUUCUCAAGCUGAGAGGUAAAGCAGGUGCUUUACUUCUGUGUGGUCAUGUGUUGGGUGCCUGCUACAUCAAAACGCUCUUCCAUAUGCAGAGAAAAUCAGAAGGAAGGGAGCACUGAGUGGCUAGUGGGCAAAGGGGAGAGACAGCGAGACCAACACAUGCCACAGAGCUGCCUUUUAUAUGAAUUCAAAUUCUGGGAUUUCGGACUAGGGCAAUAUGACAAAUAUUCAUGGACUUUCACUAGACCAAAAUUGGAAUAAAUGCUACACACACCCCAAUUUUUAAAAUUAGUAAAAACAUGUGACUUUAAAGCAGGCUGCCUACGUUGAUAAUAAACCACAUUUUCCCUAACGUGAAAAGUCAGUGCCAUUCGAGCUUGUCGACAGAAAUACAGAACAAUUCCUCAGUGAUGUGUGCUUCUUUGCAAAAAUCAGCCUUGAAUUAUGCAGGUUUGAAAUAGGCAAAAUCUUCCUAAACAAAUACUUUGCAUACAAUACCUCCAACCUCUAUUCCAGUAUAAUGUUUAAACUCUGUGCUAGAUGUCCACUUAGUUCUUUCAUUGAUGUGAAGCUAUUUCAUUAGGAGUCAGCAACUAUGCCCUGUGAUCUGACCCAAUGCCUGUUUUUGUAAAUAAAGUUUUAUUGGCACACAGCCACACCCAUUCAUUUACAAUUCGCAGAUGGUCACUUUCUCACUCCAAUGGAGUGGUGGCCACAGAAACCGUCUGGCCCAGAUGUCUAAAACAUUUAUUAUCUGGAUCUUUAUAGGAAAUGUUUGCUGGCUUUAGAGCGAGGAGUUUCAUCACUAGGAUAAGCGACUCCAUUUUCUUUUACCUAUGGAGAUUUCUCAGCCUUGCUGCACCUUAUUGCUAUAACUCUG
Molecule: long non-coding RNA, 8784 nt
Filed under: Homo sapiens (human)
Lineage: Eukaryota; Metazoa; Chordata; Mammalia; Primates; Hominidae
Description: non-protein coding FZD10-DT:34
Source: RNAcentral